AGUAAACUCAGUGAUCUCCGCAUCGAAAGAAAGCAUGAACAAGCAGUUUCUGAGCAGAAGCAAAUCAAAGAUGAAAAACCUUGAGAUAUCUGACAAGGAGCAAAAUCCAACUAACAUAGUCGUAUCUGAGAUUGUUAGAAAGAAACAGCCACACAAGGAGAUUGAAGCUAUCAUCAAUGACAAUCGCGUCAUCAUCAGGAUGCACAAGGAAACGAUCAGAGAGGAGUACGAUCCCCCGUGCGAAUGCAUUGGUCAAGUAGUUUCAAAAGAGUCGGCAUUGAGCCAAGGAAAGUGCAAUGACGGCUUUGUAUUCGAUAUGGCUCAUGGAAAUUUGGAACUCUGUCGUACUCCUCGAGAGGAUGCAUCCGUACCAUCGACAAAGAAAACCUGCGAGGAGACGGGAUGUCGUACGGUCACGUUGUAUCCAAACGUAAAAGGCGAUAUCAGGAGUGCUCCUUAUCGUAUAGAAGGCAGGGAAGUUAGAAGGUCAAAGAUGGUAAAACCAAUCGAUCUUGAAGAAAAUCCAAAUAUAUUCUUGUUGAGAAUUAGGAAACACUGUGAUAGUGGCGAUAAAAGGCAGACAAUCAAUCUUGAGUUCCGAGCACCGCGUCCAUGGCUACCAAGGAAGAAGAAGGAUCUUCUUAAACCUGAGACAUUAGAGGAACAUGAAGACGCUGACAUGGAACAUGAUAUUGACAAGGAAAAUGAUAUUGACAAGGAAUAUGAAGGUCAUAUCGACAAGGAACAUAAAGAUAAUGAGGAGCAUAAAGAUAAGAAGGAGCAUAAAGAUGACAUUGACGAAACGAUUGAUGCUCACAAGCAGAAUAACGAACAAAAAAUAUUAAUUUCACAAUAAAAUGCCGAAAUACUUUUAAGUUUGAAGAAAGAAUACAAGAUCUACUAUAUUCUCACGAGAUCACUCUUAAGCUGUCAGCGUGAUGCAGACGUUUAGAUAAAGUAUCUAUAACGGCGAGAGCGCGAAAGAAAAAGAUCUUGAAAAAUUUCCGGAUCGAUUCUCACGACUCGAAGCUUGGAGUCAGGUGCGCGUGUGAAUGGACUUCUGGCUUUCAUUCAUCUCUUCUUGAAGAUUCGAAUAGCCACCCGCCCACCAAGGCCCCCAUUUUUUGACGUCCGACAGUCUCGAAAGAAUAGAAAAGAGGGAGGAACGUAUCGAGUGUCAGACGCGCAACAAUGACGUGGGUAAACAUUCCGAUAUACAGGCCCACCCGCGGCGUCCAUCGCUGCACAAGGGAAGCGAUCUGCGACAUGGACAACAUAACGCGCAGGUAAUGUUUGGAUGCGCGUAAAAGGCGAAAAGAAUGAACGGUGAUGGCGAAAGCGGAAGAAUUUGUAUUCGCUGACAGCGAUUUCCUCGGAGCGACAGCUAUUAGACAGAAUUGAAACGAUUGUAAAUUCAUUGGGAAUGAAUAUAGGACGUAAAUAUUACUCACGAUUGCUGAUUCCAAUAUAAUGCGCGUAAGAAUUGUUAAUAUAAUAGCAAA
Molecule: RNA transcript, 1502 nt
Organism: Trachymyrmex cornetzi
Lineage: Eukaryota; Metazoa; Arthropoda; Insecta; Hymenoptera; Formicidae
Exons: 4
Source: RefSeq, a predicted model, not a curated record